This 253-nucleotide ribosomal RNA is filed under the name uncultured bacterium. RNAcentral describes it as "partial 16S ribosomal RNA". It matches the Rfam family "Bacterial small subunit ribosomal RNA", at positions 524 to 776 of the family's 1533-position model. The record is from RNAcentral.
UACGAAGGGGGCUAGCGUUGUUCGGAAUUACUGGGCGUAAAGCGCGCGCAGGCGGUCUUCCAAGUCAGUGGUGAAAGCCCGGAGCUCAACUCCGGAACUGCCAUUGAAACUGUUAGACUUGAGGGCGAGAGAGGUGAGUGGAAUUCCCAGUGUAGAGGUGAAAUUCGUAGAUAUUGGGAAGAACACCGGUGGCGAAGGCGGCUCACUGGCUCGUAUCUGACGCUCAGGCGCGACAGCGUGGGGAUCAAACAGG